Non-coding RNA from Rattus norvegicus (Norway rat), 70 nucleotides. The record is from Rfam. NCBI's taxonomy places the organism in Eukaryota, Metazoa, Chordata, Mammalia, Rodentia, Muridae.
GGGGAUUUAGCUCAGUGGUAGGGCGCUUGCUUAGCAAGCACAAAGCCCUGGGUUCAGUCCCCAGUUCCUA